UCCAUCCUACGGGAGGCAGCAGUGGGGAAUAUUGCACAAUGGGGGAAACCCUGAUGCAGCGACGCCGCGUGAGUGAAGAAGUAUUUCGGUAUGUAAAGCUCUAUCAGCAGGGAAGAAAAUGACGGUACCUGGCGAAGAAGCCCCGGCUAACUACGUGCCAGCAGCCGCGGUAAUACGUAGGGGGCAAGCGUUAUCCGGAUUCACUGGGUGUAAAGGGAGCGCAGGCGGUACGGCGAGUCUGAUGUGAAAACCCGGGGCCCAACCCCGGGACCGCACCGGAUACUGCCGGACUCGAGUGCCGGAGGGGCAGGCGGAAUUCCUGGUGUAGCGGUGAAAUGCGCAGAUAUCAGGAGGAACACCGGUGGCGAAGGCGGCCUGCUGGACGGUAACUGACGCUGAGGCUCGAAAGCGUGGGGAGCGAACAGGAUUAGAUACCCGCGUAU
This 443-nucleotide ribosomal RNA is filed under the name uncultured bacterium. RNAcentral describes it as "bacterial SSU rRNA". It matches the Rfam family "Bacterial small subunit ribosomal RNA", at positions 333 to 793 of the family's 1533-position model. The record is from RNAcentral.